AACGCACAUUGCGCCCCCUGGCAUUCCGGGGGGCAUGCCUGUCCGAGCGUCAUUUCUGCCCUCCAGCCCGGCUGGGUGUUGGGUGUUGUCCCCCCGGGGACACGCCCCAAAGGCAGUGGCGGCGCCGCGUCGUGUCCUCGAGCGUAUGGGGCUUUGUCACCCGCUCGGGACGGACUCGUCGGCGCUGGUCUUCCUCCAGGCGACCCUUCGGGGCCCGUCUACCCUCGGUUGACCUCGGAUCAGGUAGGGUUACCCGCUGAACUUAA
Molecule: unclassified non-coding RNA, 266 nt
Filed under: uncultured Talaromyces
Lineage: Eukaryota; Fungi; Ascomycota; Eurotiomycetes; Eurotiales; Trichocomaceae
Description: partial contains 5.8S ribosomal RNA, internal transcribed spacer 2, and large subunit ribosomal RNA
Source: RNAcentral